RNAcentral lists this long non-coding RNA (2544 nucleotides) under Phaseolus vulgaris (common bean). RNAcentral describes it as "long non-coding RNA (PVUL_LNC000001)". The record is from RNAcentral. Lineage: Eukaryota; Viridiplantae; Streptophyta; Magnoliopsida; Fabales; Fabaceae.
AACAAGGCGCAUCUUAAUUACUUUUACUGGCUACUUGCUGCUCUCAGUGUCAUGGGAUUGGCCUUCUUCACUUUCUUUAGUAAAUCUUACAUUUACAAUAACAAAGGUAUCAGACGACAAUAGACAAUUCUUCUUUUUCAUAGCUAUAUGGAGUGAAAAUUUUAUUUUGAUUGUCCAGGUAAACCCUCUUAUUCAGUGUACCUGUUGUUGUAUUUGGACUUUAAAAUAUAAACGACUUGUGUUUAAAAAAAUAUAUGGAGUUAGACAGUGAAUUAAGAGUAAUGGUCUAUUUUAUUGUAUGAAUUGAGCUAAUCUAGCCCUUAAGAAUGAGGGCCAAUGUGAAGGGUGUCAAACAGUCAUACCACCUAAAGCAUUCAGAACCUCAAAUCAUCCUUUAUUUAGACCAUGUUUGGUUGAGGUUGAGAGUGGAAAGGGAAAGAAAAGAACGAAAAGAUACUCGCGCAAGUUAGAUUCUUUGAAUUUAAGAAAGUUAAAAGUGAGUAAUGAAAAAUUUGUAAAUUAUAUGAUUGGCGUGACUAAAAAAGAUAUUAAAAUAAUUAUAUAACUUAGAAAUUUAUGAUAAUACUCUUAUCUUAAAGUUGAAAAUGUUAAUAUAUUUUUAUUAAAAACUAAAUGUUUAUAUGUAUCAAUGUUUAUAUGUUAUAGAAAAAUUAGUUUGAAGUUUGUAAUUAUAGAAAAAAAUUGAGACUUAAAAAUUUGGGUAGAACCAAUAUUAUUAAUUAAAGGUGGAUUAUAUUUGUUAUAUUUGGACCAUGGUUAUGGAAAAGAAAUGUGAAAAUAGGUGUACAUGAAAUAUAAUAAUUGUCUAACUUAUACUAGGAUUUAUCAUCGUAUUUUAGCCAUUCACAUGGUGUUCAAUCCAUGAAUUUAAACUCAUCAAUAAUUCUUAAACUCAAACAAUUGAAUAAAUUUUUUUAAUGUUUAGAGACAUAAUUACAAAAAAGGAAAAUCUAUGAUCAAUAAGUUAUACUUAAAAACUAGCUAUAUUCUUGUUCUAGUCAAAAGUACCUCAAUAUCAUUCUUAUGGUUUCUUGCUAAAACAUUUAGAAUUGAGUAAGUUUCUCCAUAUUGGUAGAUACAGUUAGUUGUUUUGUUAUUCUAAGGUCUUUAACCAAUAUCAUUUAUCUCUUAAAAGUUUGUAUUUUUCCCAAUCAAUUUCAAAUAUAGCAGUUCUUGUGAUUUUUCUCUAAAAUUGCGACUAGUUUUAUUGAAUCUCUUUAUUAGUGAUUAAUGACCAUAUAACUAACUCAUUAGAUUUAUGAACUCUGAAUCCCCUGAAUCAUUAAGCUUUCUGCGAAAAUCAAAGCUUUCUGAAAAAUGCACAGCAGAAGCUCACAUCUGAGAAUUGAGGUCAAGUUGGUUUAAGUAAAGAAUAUACAUGCAACAAGAUUCUGGCAUCCAACCAAUUGUUGAUUUAUUCACAAUGAAUAGCAUCUAAUAUCAAUUCCAAACAUACAUUAAUUUUAAGGGUUUUGUUAUUGAGUUUCCAAGGCCCCGUUAAGGGGCUGUUAAUAAACUGUUAGAUACUUAACAAGUAUGAAAUGGUGGGUUAUUGAUACAAUAAUUAGGUUCCUUUUCAUAAUAGUUUUUACUUUUGUUUCCUUAACUGGUUAUCUAGAAAAAUGCUUAGCGAAUUCCUAAUUUUAAAAUGAAAUAGUGGUGUUAAGAUAAGACGGAAAUAGAACCUUAUCCAUGUUUGGCACAAGUUCUUGAAGCUUUCUAACAGGUGGCCGGAGUUGAGCGGAAGCUGGGAAGUCUGGCGGCGGAAUUGGGUUGCACGGCCGUGAUCGUGAUGUGUGGGGGGUGGGGGAUCGGAGGUGGAGCAGAGUAGAGCAGAACAGAGCCUCUGUUCUCUCCUAAUGGAUUAGUGGACCUCACCUUCCAUCUCUCUCCUCCAAUCCACUUCACCCUAUUGCAAGGGUCCCACCUUUCACCUUCACCUUCACCUGAAUCAAUUAUUGGUUUUUAAUAAUGAUUAGGAUAAAAAUAAUUUUAUUCAGAAAUGAAUUGGAAAGUUUGGAAGAGGUGUAUAAGGGCUAAAGGGGAGAUAUUUAGGGGGAUUUAUUAGGAAGAGUGGAAAAAAAAGGGUGAGAAAUUAAGGUGAAGAGAAAUCGGAGGAUGGGGAAGGGAUUGGAAGAAGCAGUGGGAGCAGAGGAGGAGGAGGAGAGGGACGAUGUGGUGGAUGGUGCGGUGGACUUCAGAGGUGGAACCGCCGUGAGAUCCAAAUCUGGGUCGUGGAGAUCCGCGGGGCUUAUCAUAGGUAAGGUAGUGAUUAAUUGAAGUUGAAAUUGAAUUAAGGAGGAGUUUAACAUUAACAUGUGUGAAAUCGGAAUCAGGUGUGGAAGUGGCGGAGAGAAUUGCGUAUUAUGGGAUUCAGGGGAACAUGAUAUCGUAUCUCACCGGACCUCUCCGUCAGAGCACGGCCACCGCCGCAGAGAACAUCAAUGUCUGGUCGGGAACUGCUUCCUUGCUUCCUCUGCUUGGGGCUUUCCUCGCCGAUUCCUUUCUCGGCCGCUACCGCAC